Molecule: long non-coding RNA, 620 nt
Organism: Lytechinus pictus (painted urchin)
Lineage: Eukaryota; Metazoa; Echinodermata; Echinoidea; Temnopleuroida; Toxopneustidae
Exons: 3
Source: RefSeq, a predicted model, not a curated record
AUGUCAAUGGUGUUGGAUAUAUUGUAUGCCUACAUCAUACGUAUAGUUUCUGUUGAGAUAGGCUGAAAAAGGACAUCGUUAUGUGCCAUCUUGCUGAUUUUGAAUGUCUUAUUCAUGUACUCUGGUGAUUACCUGAUCAAACACAUCUUAUUUCAUGAAUUUACUGUUUAGUGGAGAGAUCAAGUAAUCAUGAAUUUCUGAAAAGUUUAUACCAUUGGAUAUUGAAAAUCAUCAUAGAUUCUACCAGACAGAGGAAUGCCUACUUCCUGAUUGAAAUUAGAGGAUAUUCAGAAUAUGAUCCACUAAGACAUUAAAUGUCAACAUUCGUUCGUAACUAGCUCCAGUUUUCAUCCAGUGCUGCCAUUGUAGUCGCCUCGUGAUGGCGCUGCUGUCAUUAAAAGUGCACAUCGUUCAGGCUAACAGCACCAAGACUAUUCAAUUUCCCCCCACCGACAGCGUCUAUGAUGUAGGCCGUACCAUCAGGGAAAAGAGCACCGAAGCUAAAGACCAAGCAGGCAACCCAAAUGAAUUUGGUCUGUUCUUAGCUGACGAAGAUCCUAAGAAAGGAGUAUGGCUGGAGCCAAACAAAACCCUCGAGCAUUAUAUGCUGAGAAGUGGGG